Molecule: long non-coding RNA, 1687 nt
Filed under: Nicotiana tabacum (common tobacco)
Lineage: Eukaryota; Viridiplantae; Streptophyta; Magnoliopsida; Solanales; Solanaceae
Description: long non-coding RNA (NTAB_LNC016975)
Source: RNAcentral
CUCUGGGUUGAGACCUUCCCCUAUCUCGGCCUCUAGCACAGCCUCAGCCUCGUCCUCUGCCCUUCGUAGGAGCUGCCACUAGGGGCACGGGCUGCUAAUCAGUGGAGGAAGAAGCACGUGAUCUUACCAUCUGCGAUAGAAUAGAGUGGAAGUUCAAUUAGCAUUAAGAAAUCAAGUCGCACGAUAGAAGGGAAUAGAUGCAAAGUUUUUCUAAACUCGGUAGCCUAUAGGGGAUAAGCACAGACGUCUCCAUACCGAUCCCUUUGACUCUACCCAGCUUGUUCGUGAAUUGUGAGACCUAUGCAACCUAGAGCACUGAUACCAACUUGUCACGACCCAGAUUUUCCACUCUCGGGAGUCGUGAUGGCGCCUACUCAAGAAAUCUAGGCAAGCCAACUAUUGAGGUUUUAACCCAUUAGCAAUCAACCCAUAUCGGAUAUAAACAAUAACUACAGUUAAACAAAUGAAAAGUGCGGAAGAGUUAUAACAAAUUCAAACAAACCAACCAUCUUUCAUCAGGUUUAAAAAUCCUGACGACCAAUACCUCUCUUGUUCUUGGCAGCCAUGCCUGCGUUGAGCUCUCCCCAGCCUUUGGCUGUGGUAGAGACAAAUCAAAACACUACUGAAACUCUAACAAAUUCCAAAUCAACACAGUCCUAUGCAGCACAACUUCAACAAAAUAGUGUGUCCAAAGUUGAGUUAAUUCCUGUUGUUGUUGUGCAUGGAGAUCCAACGAUUGAGUUCACCAUGGACCAGGUUAAUGAAUUUACAAGAUAAGAGGGACUGCAUCAGGCUGUCGUGAUGAAAUUUUCAUACGGCAAACCAUAAUUACAAGAUAUCAGAAAAAAUCUGCCAGCGCAAUUCGAUAUUCAAGGUCGAUGUAAUAUUGGACUGUUGGAAUAUCGUCAUCUGCUGAUCCGUUUUGAUUUAUUCAACGACUUUGUUAAAUUCUUAUCAAGGUCGACUGGAUAUAUGAAAUCAAAAGGUGAUGAAUUUUUCUUUAGAACUUUUCCAUGGUCACUAGGAUUUAAUCCGAGGGAAGAAACUUCAAUGGCAGUCGUGUGGAUUUCCUUCCCAGGUUUUCCUCCAAAUUUCUUUGCUAAGAGAUCACUGUUAUCUAUUGUAUCUGCUGUGGGUAACGUUCUUGCUGUGGAUAAAGCAACUCAGGAGAGAACUCGACCUAGUGCAGCUAGAGUUAAGGUAAUCCUUGAUUUUAUGGACAAACAUCCAAAAAAGUUAAAAUUGUUAUGAAAGAUAGAGUUACUGGAAAAUCCAUCGUGCAUGAACAAGAAAUUGUUUAUGACAAUAUUCCAAGCUAUUGCACGUACUGCAAACAUCAAGGGCACAAAGAAAUUUCGUGUCGAGUGAGGCAGAGACAAGUUGAAGAGGAGGCUGCUGAAGUAGAUACAACAGAUGGGAUUACUCUGCCUGCAACUACCACAAGACUUCAUGAAGCUGUAUCAAAUAGUGGGGCAGGACAAAUUCAAUCUGCUGUUGCCAAUGAUUCUCAUGAUGUAGCUGUAGAUGCGCAUGGUGGUGUACAUAAUCCAGUUGCAGCAACAAUGGUGGAAAAGGAAAGAAUUGGCAUCGACAGAGAUGAUACAGCUGGAAAGGAAUACCAUAAUGUUGUUGUGGGUUCACUUGGUGAUGAUGGUAGCUUUGUGCAGCACAUGGGACAGGGGGGUCG